GACGAACGCUGGCGGCGUGCUUAACACAUGCAAGUCGAACGGAAAGGCCUGCUUUCCCUUGUGGAUUGCGGGUACUCGAGUGGCGAACGGGUGAGUAACACGUGAGUGAUCUGCCCCCAACUUGGGUAUAAGCCUGGGAAACUGGGUCUAAUUCCCGAUAGGACUGCAGGGUGGUUCCUGUGGUGGACAACGAUUUUCUAGUGGUUGGGGAUGAGCUCGCGGCCUAUCAGCUUGUUGGUGGGGUAAUGGCCUACCAAGGCGGCGACGGGUAGCCGGCCUGAGAGGGUGGACGGCCACAUUGGGACUGAGAUACGGCCCAGACUCCUACGGGAGGCAGCAGUGGGGAAUAUUGCACAAUGGGCGGAAGCCUGAUGCAGCGACGCCGCGUGGGGGAUGACGGCCUUCGGGUUGUAAACUCCUUGCGACCGCGAGGAAGCCACCUGGUUGGAAGGGUGGUGACGGUAGUGGUAGAAGAAGCACCGGCUAACUACGUG
Molecule: ribosomal RNA, 494 nt
Filed under: uncultured bacterium
Lineage: Bacteria
Description: partial 16S ribosomal RNA
Rfam family: Bacterial small subunit ribosomal RNA
Source: RNAcentral